Lotus japonicus is the source of this 851-nucleotide long non-coding RNA. RefSeq lists it as uncharacterized. The transcript has 3 exons. Lineage: Eukaryota; Viridiplantae; Streptophyta; Magnoliopsida; Fabales; Fabaceae. The record is from RefSeq and is a predicted model, not a curated record.
AAGACGACCUGAUCGAGCCGAGAACAUUAUAUCAUGGUGGGGGUAGCUCUCCCAGUGGCUAGUGGUAUUUGUUUUUCCUAUUCAUGAACGUGAGACGUUACUUGAGGAGGAUUAGACAUGUGCGACCUGAACCAACAAAGAACUGGGUAGUCAUCAACAACAACCAACACUUAAAUUAUAGGUAGCCUUUUUAAUGGAUGGAUAAUUGCUGAAGUUAGAGGCCGGUUAUGUGAGCCAUUAUAACAUAUCCCGCGAAAAGCGCCACGAAGCAUCCGGUAAAUAGUCCUGAUUUUAUUUGAAGCAAUCAGCUAAAUGUUUGAAGUAACUUUCUAUAUAUUCUGCAUUAUUUUUGCUUGAAAGUUUGGCAAUUGUGUUAUAUUAUUUUAGAUUCAUUCUUCAUAAGGUUAUAUGUAGUUUGAAUAUGAUUUAGAGCAGCAUGGGACCUGUACUUCCCUUCCACCCAAGAGUGGACCAGUUACUACCAUUCCUUUUGUGAGCCUAGUGGCUCAAAAGGUAUCAUAUUGUGUUUUCUUUAGAUACUAAUGGUCACAAAGCAAACUAGCUUAAAGUUCUCAACCAAAAUGAUUGAUUACAAAAGACAAAACAAAAAAGUGGAAAUUAAAAGACCAAAUAUUUGGUUAAAAGUAACUCACCAAUGAAGAAAGUUACAGUAUGUGUAUGUGAUUCUAAAGUUACAGGUACCAUAUUGUGUUUUCUCAAGAUACUAAUGGUCACAAAGCAAACUAACUUAAAGGUCUCAACCAAAAUGAUUGAUUACAAAAGACAAAACAAAAAAGUGGAACUAAAAGGUCCAAAUAUUUGGUUAAAAGUUAGAAGUAACUCACCAAUGA